GACCUGCCCAGUGACUUCGGUUAAACGGCUGCAGUAUUCUGACUGUGCAAAGGUAGCAUAAUCAUUGGCCUGUUAAUUUCAGGCUGGAAUCAACGGUUUGACGAUAGAGAUACUGUCUCUUUUUAUAAAAUUUUGAAUUUAUUUUCAAGGUGAAGAAACCUUGAUUAAAUAACGGGACGAGAAGACCCUAUUGAGCUUUAAUUUUCUUAAUAUAUUAAAAAUUAUUUUGUAGAUUUGAGUUGGGGCAACUGGCUUUACUAUUAAACAAAGCUUUUACAUAAAAAAAUUUCGAGAUUGUAUUUAGACCCACAGAGUUUGUGAUCAAAGGAAAAAGUUACCUUAGGGAUAACAGCGUAAUUUCUUUUGAGAGUACAUAUUGACAGAGAAGUUUGCGACCUCGAUGUUGGAUCAAGAUUUCCUGGGGGUGUAGCGGUUCCUGAGGGUUGGUUUGUUCAACCAUAAAAAUCUU
This 469-nucleotide ribosomal RNA is filed under the name Ophiomyxa anisacantha. Its description in RNAcentral is "partial 16S ribosomal RNA". It matches the Rfam family "Bacterial large subunit ribosomal RNA", at positions 1854 to 2597 of the family's 2925-position model. The record is from RNAcentral. Lineage: Eukaryota; Metazoa; Echinodermata; Ophiuroidea; Amphilepidida; Ophiomyxidae.